RNAcentral lists this transfer RNA (73 nucleotides) under Stegodyphus mimosarum. RNAcentral describes it as "tRNA-Thr for anticodon CGU". It matches the Rfam family "tRNA". Rfam says of the family: Transfer RNA (tRNA) molecules are approximately 80 nucleotides in length. Their secondary structure includes four short double-helical elements and three loops (D, anti-codon, and T loops). The record is from Rfam by way of RNAcentral. Lineage: Eukaryota; Metazoa; Arthropoda; Arachnida; Araneae; Eresidae.
GCCUUCGUGGUGUAGUGGUUAGCACCCUGGACCCGUAUUCUAGAGGUCCGUGGUUCGAAUCCCGGCGAGGGCA